AUUGAACGCUGGCGGCAGGCCUAACACAUGCAAGUCGAGCGGAUGAAGGGAGCUUGCUCCUGGAUUCAGCGGCGGACGGGUGAGUAAUGCCUAGGAAUCUGCCUGGUAGUGGGGGAUAACGUCCGGAAACGGGCGCUAAUACCGCAUACGUCCUGAGGGAGAAAGUGGGGGAUCUUCGGACCUCACGCUAUCAGAUGAGCCUAGGUCGGAUUAGCUAGUUGGUGGGGUAAAGGCCUACCAAGGCGACGAUCCGUAACUGGUCUGAGAGGAUGAUCAGUCACACUGGAACUGAGACACGGUCCAGACUCCUACGGGAGGCAGCAGUGGGGAAUAUUGGACAAUGGGCGAAAGCCUGAUCCAGCCAUGCCGCGUGUGUGAAGAAGGUCUUCGGAUUGUAAAGCACUUUAAGUUGGGAGGAAGGGCAGUAAGGUAAUACCUUGCUGUUUUGACGUUACCAACAGAAGAAGCACCGGCUAACU
RNAcentral lists this ribosomal RNA (479 nucleotides) under uncultured bacterium. Its description in RNAcentral is "partial 16S ribosomal RNA". It matches the Rfam family "Bacterial small subunit ribosomal RNA", at positions 30 to 502 of the family's 1533-position model. The record is from RNAcentral.